RNAcentral lists this ribosomal RNA (629 nucleotides) under uncultured bacterium. Its description in RNAcentral is "bacterial SSU rRNA". The stretch from base 1 to 520 matches the Rfam family "Bacterial small subunit ribosomal RNA", at positions 338 to 873 of the family's 1533-position model. The record is from RNAcentral.
CCUACGGGAGGCAGCAGUAGGGAAUCUUGCGCAAUGGGCGAAAGCCUGACGCAGCCAUGCCGCGUGAAUGAUGAAGGUCUUAGGAUUGUAAAAUUCUUUCACCGGGGACGAUAAUGACGGUACCCGGAGAAGAAGCCCCGGCUAACUUCGUGCCAGCAGCCGCGGUAAUACGAAGGGGGCUAGCGUUGCUCGGAAUUACUGGGCGUAAAGGGAGCGUAGGCGGAUAGUUUAGUCAGAGGUGAAAGCCCAGGGCUCAACCUUGGAACUGCCUUUGAUACUGGCUAUCUUGAGUAUGGGAGAGGUGAGUGGAACUCCGAGUGUAGAGGUGAAAUUCGUAGAUAUUCGGAAGAACACCAGUGGCGAAGGCGACUCACUGGCCCAUUACUGACGCUGAGGCUCGAAAGCGUGGGGAGCAAACAGGAUUAGAUACCCUGGUAGUCCACGCCGUAAACGAUGAGUGCUAGUUGUCGGGCAUGCAUGCAUGUCGGUGGACGCAGCUAACGCAUUAAGUCACUCCGCCGUCGGGGUAGGUACGGGUCGGCGAAGAAGUUAAAACGUUUAAAAUUAGUUAAGUUAGUUACGGGCGUGAGACGUUGCCGAACGGGACGACCGACCGAGGGGAGGUUAGG